RNAcentral lists this unclassified non-coding RNA (237 nucleotides) under plant metagenome. RNAcentral describes it as "partial contains small subunit ribosomal RNA, internal transcribed spacer 1, and 5.8S ribosomal RNA". The record is from RNAcentral.
UUUCCGUAGGUGAACCUGCGGAAGGAUCAUUAAUGAGAACUAAGGGUAGUAGUCUCGGCUAUUACUCUGAACACUCCACCCUUUGUUUAUAUUACCUUUGUUGCUUUAGCAGGCCCGCUCUCGAGCCGCCGGCACCUGCUGGCUAGUGCCUGCUAAAGAACCUAAAACUCUUGUUAAUAAUAUUGUCUGAGUACUAUAUAAUAGUUAAAACUUUCAACAACGGAUCUCUUGGUUCUG